Molecule: transfer RNA, 69 nt
Filed under: Ictidomys tridecemlineatus (thirteen-lined ground squirrel)
Lineage: Eukaryota; Metazoa; Chordata; Mammalia; Rodentia; Sciuridae
Description: Spermophilus tridecemlineatus (thirteen-lined ground squirrel) tRNA
Rfam family: tRNA
About the family: Transfer RNA (tRNA) molecules are approximately 80 nucleotides in length. Their secondary structure includes four short double-helical elements and three loops (D, anti-codon, and T loops).
Source: Rfam by way of RNAcentral
GGCGUUAUAGCUCAGAGGGAGAGCACUUGCCUACCAUGCAUGAGGCACUAGGUUCGAUCCUCAGCACCA